Molecule: transfer RNA, 62 nt
Filed under: Salpa fusiformis
Lineage: Eukaryota; Metazoa; Chordata; Thaliacea; Salpida; Salpidae
Description: tRNA-Gly
Rfam family: tRNA
About the family: Transfer RNA (tRNA) molecules are approximately 80 nucleotides in length. Their secondary structure includes four short double-helical elements and three loops (D, anti-codon, and T loops).
Source: RNAcentral
UAAACUAUAGUCUAAGUAAGACAUUUACCUUCCAAGUAAAAAAUAUCAACUGAUUAGUUUAA